Molecule: ribosomal RNA, 138 nt
Filed under: uncultured bacterium
Lineage: Bacteria
Description: partial 16S ribosomal RNA
Rfam family: Bacterial small subunit ribosomal RNA
Source: RNAcentral
GUGGGGAAUAUUGCACAAGUGGGGAAACCCUGAUGCAGCGACGCCGCGUGAAGGAAGAAGUAUCUCGGUAUGUAAACUUCUAUCAGCAGGGAAGAUAGUGACGGUACCUGACUAAGAAGCCCCGGCUAACUACGUGCC